This 560-nucleotide long non-coding RNA is filed under the name Setaria italica (foxtail millet). RNAcentral describes it as "long non-coding RNA (SITA_LNC000413)". Lineage: Eukaryota; Viridiplantae; Streptophyta; Magnoliopsida; Poales; Poaceae. The record is from RNAcentral.
GUUCGGCUGCCGGCCCAAGUAGCAGCAGUGCAGCCUGCAGCCCAACAACUCGGCUGCAGAGCAAGCAUCUUCUCUUUGUGAUGAACCAUUCCUAUUUGUAAGUCACGCAAAUGCUAGAAAGAUCAAAGGAGCGAAGCAGAUAGGGAGAGACGCUCCUCUAAGGUUUGGAAUUCGGACGCCGCCCUUCGUAUUCGCCUUCCGUGAAGGUUGCCGGCGCAUCAAGGGUGCCAAAUUAGGUCGGCGACGCCUCCCUCACCCCUUUCCCAAUCGGCGGCCAGCAUUCUCGGGAGGCGACAGCAACAUCGCAGAUCGCACCUCAAGCCUUCGGCAUCUGCUCAUUCGGGAUGUGGGAAGCUCCACCGUAGCUCACAGAGUACUUUCCCAAGAAGAGGAAUUUGGUGAGUAGGCUUCGAGAUGAUUAGCACUAGUUGUGUUGUGUGUUUUGAUUUGCUACCGCGAUAUGUUUUCUAGUGGAAAUAAUCAGCUUCUGCAAUGAUGUGACUAGUAUACUUGAUGAUUAUUUCUUACUUGUGCUCUUUGUAACUAUUAUUCAGAGUUAG